UGCGGCUCACGGUUGUAAUCUGCCAGCAAUUUCUUCCCUCCAUUGUUUGUUAUUAACUUGGCACUUUUGUGCUGCAGAAACUGCUCCUCUGUGAUUUGAUUCCACACUGACAAGGAAUACGGACAUCCCUGAGAGGGCCUGAUGGCUCUUACCUGGACAAGACCCACAUCGGAAAGCACAGGUGCCGGCAGGAGGUGUUUCUCUAGCUCAAUUCACCUCAGUGCCUGGGAGCGCAAAGGAGAGGGAUGUCUGCAGUCUGCUUUCCCCUCAAGAAUCAAAGACUAGUGCCACAGCAGGGGUCACAGGAGACUCAGCCAGAAGAAAGCCCUGAAUAACAGCCGACAGCAUGUAUCAUGCCUGGUCCACAUCGAGAGAGCAAUGAUUUGAGCGUGUCCAUCCCAUGGGGCCUGCUUGCUUUCUGAGGAGACGACACUGCGGGC
Mustela lutreola (European mink) is the source of this 440-nucleotide long non-coding RNA. RefSeq lists it as uncharacterized. Lineage: Eukaryota; Metazoa; Chordata; Mammalia; Carnivora; Mustelidae. The record is from RefSeq and is a predicted model, not a curated record. The transcript has 3 exons.